GCCUGGGUGGCUCAGUCGGUUGAGCGUCUGACUUCGGCUCAGGUCAUGAUCUCACGGUCUGUGAGUUUGAGCCCCGCGUCGGGCU
Molecule: transfer RNA, 85 nt
Filed under: Felis catus (domestic cat)
Lineage: Eukaryota; Metazoa; Chordata; Mammalia; Carnivora; Felidae
Rfam family: tRNA
About the family: Transfer RNA (tRNA) molecules are approximately 80 nucleotides in length. Their secondary structure includes four short double-helical elements and three loops (D, anti-codon, and T loops).
Source: Rfam by way of RNAcentral